RNAcentral lists this small nuclear RNA (192 nucleotides) under Diplodia corticola. Its description in RNAcentral is "Botryosphaeria corticola U2 spliceosomal RNA". It matches the Rfam family "U2 spliceosomal RNA". From Rfam's summary of the family: U2 is a small nuclear RNA (snRNA) component of the spliceosome (involved in pre-mRNA splicing). Complementary binding between U2 snRNA (in an area lying towards the 5' end but 3' to hairpin I) and the branchpoint sequence (BPS) of the intron results the bulging out of an unpaired adenosine, on the BPS, which initiates a nucleophilic attack at the intronic 5' splice site, thus starting the first of two transesterification reactions that mediate splicing. Lineage: Eukaryota; Fungi; Ascomycota; Dothideomycetes; Botryosphaeriales; Botryosphaeriaceae. The record is from Rfam by way of RNAcentral.
UCAGCUCUCUUUGCCUUUUGGCUUAGAUCAAGUGUAGUAACUGUUCUUUUUAGUUUAAUCUCUAGAACGCCCCUACGGGGGUAGACCUAGUUUGCUUGUUUUUGGAAAUUGGUUGGUGGCCGCUGAGCUCCGCUCAUGUCACUGACCACAGUGUCGCCUGUAUUGCACUGUCUCGGGCUGAUGCGAACUUCU